This 400-nucleotide unclassified non-coding RNA is filed under the name uncultured fungus. RNAcentral's name for it is "sequence contains ITS1". The stretch from base 1 to 104 matches the Rfam family "5.8S ribosomal RNA", at positions 50 to 154 of the family's 154-position model. Lineage: Eukaryota; Fungi. The record is from RNAcentral.
AAAGUGCGAUAAGUCAUGUGAAUUGCAGAUUGUGAAUCAUCGAAUCUUUGAACGCAAAUGGCGCUGCAGGGCCUAAUCCCCGCAGCAUGUCUGGCUGAGUGUCGGUGUCCUCAAUCUCCUUGAUCUCUUCUCAUGUGAGAUCAGGGAGCGUGUGGUGGGAACGCUGCCUGUCCGAUGGGGGCGAGGCAGACGGUCCUGAAGUUCAGUUUGAGAGAGAGUAGCGCUGUGUGCAGCGGUGCCUCGGGCAGCGUGUGGUGUGAUUCAAUUCAUGAAAUCAUCAUUCAGCGCGCUCGGCCGGGCACCCCUCUCCUCCCCACCCUCGUGAUGAGCGGGGGGCGGGCCCACAGGGCGAAGCACUCGAUACACACCCUAAUAAGUCAAAAGCAUAUCGACAUCAGCU